GCGUUCAUAGCUCAGUUGGUUAGAGCACCACCUUGACAUGGUGGGGGUCGUUGGUUCGAGUCCAAUUAACGCACCA
This 76-nucleotide transfer RNA is filed under the name Escherichia coli. RNAcentral's name for it is "tRNA-Val". It matches the Rfam family "tRNA". From Rfam's summary of the family: Transfer RNA (tRNA) molecules are approximately 80 nucleotides in length. Their secondary structure includes four short double-helical elements and three loops (D, anti-codon, and T loops). Further hydrogen bonds mediate the characteristic L-shaped molecular structure. tRNAs have two regions of fundamental functional importance: the anti-codon, which is responsible for specific mRNA codon recognition, and the 3' end, to which the tRNAs corresponding amino acid is attached (by aminoacyl-tRNA synthetases). tRNAs cope with the degeneracy of the genetic code in two manners: having more than one tRNA (with a specific anti-codon) for a particular amino acid; and 'wobble' base-pairing, i.e. permitting non-standard base-pairing at the 3rd anti-codon position. Lineage: Bacteria; Pseudomonadati; Pseudomonadota; Gammaproteobacteria; Enterobacterales; Enterobacteriaceae. The record is from RNAcentral.